This 392-nucleotide ribosomal RNA is filed under the name uncultured bacterium. RNAcentral's name for it is "bacterial SSU rRNA". It matches the Rfam family "Bacterial small subunit ribosomal RNA", at positions 362 to 771 of the family's 1533-position model. The record is from RNAcentral.
UAUUGCACAAUGGGGGAAACCCUGAUGCAGCGACGCCGCGUGAAGGAUGAAGUAUUUCGGUAUGUAAACUUCUAUCAGCAGGGAAGAAACUGACGGUACCUGACUAAGAAGCCCCGGCUAACUACGUGCCAGCAGCCGCGGUAAUACGUAGGGGGCAAGCGUUAUCCGGAUUUACUGGGUGUAAAGGGAGCGUAGACGGUAUGGCAAUUCUGAUAGGAAAACCCGGGGCUCAACCCCGGGACUGCAAUGGAAACUGUCGGACUAGAGUGUCGGAGAGGCAAGUGGAAUUCCUAGUGUAGCGGUGAAAUGCGUAGAUAUUAGGAGGAACACCAGUGGGGAAGGCGGCUUGCUGGACGAUGACUGACGUUGAGGCUCGAAAGCGUGGGGAGCAA